This 207-nucleotide ribosomal RNA is filed under the name uncultured bacterium. RNAcentral describes it as "partial 16S ribosomal RNA". It matches the Rfam family "Bacterial small subunit ribosomal RNA", at positions 568 to 774 of the family's 1533-position model. The record is from RNAcentral.
UGCGUAGGUGGUGAGGUAAGUCGGAUGUGAAAUCUCGGAGCUCAACUCCGAAAUGGCAUUGGAAACUACCUCGCUGGAGGAAUGGAGGGGGGACUGGAAUUCUCGGUGUAGCAGUGAAAUGCGUAGAUAUCGAGAGGAACACCAGUGGCGAAGGCGAGUCCCUGGACAUCUCCUGACACUGAGGCACGAAAGCUAGGGGAGCAAACA